This 321-nucleotide ribosomal RNA is filed under the name uncultured eukaryote. Its description in RNAcentral is "partial 18S ribosomal RNA". It matches the Rfam family "Eukaryotic small subunit ribosomal RNA", at positions 1470 to 1796 of the family's 1831-position model. The record is from RNAcentral.
CCCUUAGAUGUCCUGGGCCGCACGCGCGCUACACUGACAUGUUCAACAAGCCUCCUAGUUCGACAGGAUUUGGGAAAUCUUUGAACGCAUGUCGUGAUAGGGAUAGAUCAUUGCAAUUAUUGAUCUUGAACGGGGAAUUCCUAGUAAACGCGAGUCAUCAGCUCGCAUUGAUUACGUCCCUGCCCUUUGUACACACCGCCCGUCGCACCUACCGAUUGAAUGUUUCGGUGAAGAUUCCGGAUAGGACUUUUUUGAUUUAUUUCAAUUCUGUCUUAAAAGCUAUCUAAACCUCAACAUUUAGAGGAAGGUGAAGUCGUAACA